RNAcentral lists this ribosomal RNA (758 nucleotides) under Bolbolaimus major. RNAcentral's name for it is "partial large subunit ribosomal RNA". It matches the Rfam family "Eukaryotic large subunit ribosomal RNA", at positions 356 to 956 of the family's 3401-position model. Lineage: Eukaryota; Metazoa; Nematoda; Chromadorea; Desmodorida; Microlaimidae. The record is from RNAcentral.
AGGGAAAGUUGCAAAGAACUUUGAAGAGAGAGUUCAAGAGGGCGUGAAACCACUUAGGCGCAAACAGGCGGAGCUGAUGGUCGCUGGCAGGAUUCAGCCUUGCAGUAGUUGUCGUGCUGCUCUCUGAUCGACUAGACAGAGUGUGGUCUAGAUUGUUAGUGCAAGGUGCAUUUCUUGUCAGUGAGCACUGUGAGCAGUGACUCUACUAGAAGUAUCCAGCUGGUAGUGGGCUGGCUUGCCAGUGUCCUCACAGCAGGUGAAACUGAGUUAGUUUUACUGAAAACAAGACAUCCGCAUCGAGUUUGGUAGCAUGGAGGCAUGGGCGAUUGACUUGUCUGGAAACUGCUUGCAUGUUCCAGCGCAUCUUGUCCAUGUCAAAGUGUGAUCCGAGUGAUGUCAGUUACAGUGUCUGCGUCAGCCAACCGCCUGACCCGUCUUGAAACACGGACCAAGGAGUCUAACAUGUGCGCGAGUUAUUGGGUGACAAACUCGAAAGCGUAAUGAAGGUAAAGGCCAAUUCGGUUGGCUGAGGUGAGAUCCGCAGCUUGCUGUGGCGCACCACCAUCCCAUCCUAUCUGCUUGUCAGUGGGGUGGAGAUAGAGCGUACACGUUGGGACCCGAAAGAUGGUGAACUAUGCCUGAGCAAGAUGAAGCCAGAGGAAACUCUGGUGGAAGUCUGUAGCGAUUCUGACGUGCAAAUCGAUCGUCAGACUUGGGUAUAGGGGCGAAAGACUAAUCGAACCAUCUAGUAGCUGUUU